Molecule: ribosomal RNA, 468 nt
Filed under: uncultured bacterium
Lineage: Bacteria
Description: partial 16S ribosomal RNA
Rfam family: Bacterial small subunit ribosomal RNA
Source: RNAcentral
GACGAACGCUGGCGGCGUGCUUAACACAUGCAAGUCGAACGGAAAGGCCCUGCUUUUGUGGGGUGCUCGAGUGGCGAACGGGUGAGUAACACGUGAGUAACCUGCCCUUGACUUUGGGAUAACUUAAGGAAACUGGGGCUAAUACCGGAUAGGAGCUCCUGCUGCAUGGUGGGGGUUGGAAAGUUUCGGCGGUUGGGGAUGGACUCGCGGCUUAUCAGCUUGUUGGUGGGGUAGUGGCUUACCAAGGCUUUGACGGGUAGCCGGCCUGAGAGGGUGACCGGCCACAUUGGGACUGAGAUACGGCGCAGACUCCUACGGGAGGCAGCAGUGGGGAAUAUUGCACAAUGGGCGGAAGCCUGAUGCAGCAACGCCGCGUGCGGGAUGACGGCCUUCGGGUUGUAAACCGCUUUCGCCUGUGACGAAGCGUGAGUGACGGUAAUGGGUAAAGAAGCACCGGCUAACUACGUG